AGUAAAUAGAUACCCGGGUAGUCCACGCCGUAAACGAUGAGUACAAGGUGUAGGAGGUAUCGACUCCUUCUGUGCCGCAGUUAAACACAAUAAGUACUCCGCCUGGGAAGUACGGUCGCAAGAUUAAAACUCAAAGGAAUUGACGGGGCCCGCACAAGCAGCGGAGCAUGUGGUUUAAAUUCGAAGCAACGCGAAGAACCUUACCUAGACUUGACAUCCCCUGAAUAACGUAGAGAUACGCGAAGCCCUUCGGGGCAGGGAGACAGGUGGUGCAUGGUUGUCGUCAGCUCGUGUCGUGAGAUGUUGGGUUAAGUCCCGCAACGAGCGCAACCCUUAUCAUUAGUUGCUACCAUUUAGUUGAGCACUCUAGUGAGACUGCCCGGGUUAACCGGGAGGAAGGCGGGGAUGACGUCAAAUCAUCAUGCCCCUUAUGUCUAGGGCUACACACGUGCUACAAUGGUGAGAACAACGAGAUGCAAUACCGCGAGGUGGAGCAAAACCUUCAAAACUCAUCUCAGUUCGGAUUGUAGGCUGAAACUCGCC
This 543-nucleotide ribosomal RNA is filed under the name uncultured bacterium. RNAcentral describes it as "bacterial SSU rRNA". It matches the Rfam family "Bacterial small subunit ribosomal RNA", at positions 775 to 1316 of the family's 1533-position model. The record is from RNAcentral.